This 336-nucleotide unclassified non-coding RNA is filed under the name soil metagenome. RNAcentral describes it as "partial contains 5.8S ribosomal RNA, internal transcribed spacer 2, and large subunit ribosomal RNA". The stretch from base 1 to 120 matches the Rfam family "5.8S ribosomal RNA", at positions 35 to 154 of the family's 154-position model. The record is from RNAcentral.
GAUGAAGAACGUAGCGAAAUGCGAUAAGUAGUGUGAAUUGCAGAAUUCAGUGAAUCAUCGAAUCUUUGAACGCACAUUGCGCCCUUUGGUAUUCCUUAGGGCAUGCCUGUUCGAGCGUCAUUUGAACCCUCAAGCUCAGCUUGGUGUUGGGUGUCUGUCCCCGCCUCCGCGGGGACUCGCCUCAAAAUCAUUGGCGGCCGGUACGUUGGCUUCGAGCGCAGCAGAACCGCGAACUCGAGGCCCGGCGGAUCGGCGACCAGAAGUCUCUUCUUCACAGUUUGACCUCGGAUCAGGUAGGGAUACCCGCUGAACUUAAGCAUAUCAAUAAGCGGAGGA